RNAcentral lists this ribosomal RNA (434 nucleotides) under uncultured soil bacterium. RNAcentral's name for it is "bacterial SSU rRNA". It matches the Rfam family "Bacterial small subunit ribosomal RNA", at positions 26 to 445 of the family's 1533-position model. The record is from RNAcentral.
AGAGUGAACGCUGGCGGUAGGCCUAACACAUGCAAGUCGAACGGCAGCACAGUGGUAGCAAUACCAUGGGUGGCGAGUGGCGGACGGGUGAGGAAUACAUCGGAAUCUACCUUUUCGUGGGGGAUAACGUAGGGAAGCUUACGCUAAUACCGCAUACGCCCUUCGGGGGAAAGCCGGGGAUCGCAAGACCUGGCGCGGAUAGAUGAGCCGAUGUCGGAUUAGCUAGUUGGUGAGGUAAUGGCUCACCAAGGCGACGAUCCGUAGCUGGUCUGAGAGGAUGAUCAGCCACACUGGAACUGAGACGACGGUCCAGACCUCCGUACGGGAGCAGCAGUGGGAAUAUGGACAAGUGGGCGCAAGCCUGACUCCGAGCCAUACCCGCGUGGGUAGAAGAACGGUCCUUACGGGUUGUUAAAACGUCCCGUUUUAGGUUA